CAGUAGUACACUGUUUCAGCUCCUAGGGGAGGUGGUCCUAUUUUAAUUUUUGACCACUUUAUUUUUAGCAACGGGGAGUCUCCUUUUUAAUUUAGUUAAAUUUUUUAAUGCUAAAAGAAACCUUCUGUGCUACAAACUCCCCACAUGAGCCCAGCUGAUGUGAGUAUUCAGCUCAGGGCAGCUGAGAACGGAGCACAGCCACAAACAGAAGCAGCAUCAACAAAUCAUACAGGAGCUGAAAGUUCAGAGAGGGAACAGAGAACUGACCUACGUGGAGCAGGAAGAGCUUCUGACCGAUCUUCAUGCUUUACAAUGAAAUCAGAGUGCACACUGUGCUUUUAUAACUAUGUUUAAAAAAG
This 359-nucleotide long non-coding RNA is filed under the name Gallus gallus (chicken). RNAcentral's name for it is "lncRNA (ENSGALG00010003021.1)". The record is from RNAcentral. Lineage: Eukaryota; Metazoa; Chordata; Aves; Galliformes; Phasianidae.